UCUUUAUAACCAAUUUUCAAAAGAAGCGAUACCUCCUAGCUCCUGAGUACACGGACUGAUGCCCUCAACCCGACCAAAGCAACUUAAGGAAGGAGCUGGAGCACUCUGGAGGAGAACCAGGGCUGGGGUUAUAGCUCAGUGGUAGAGCAUUUGCCAAGCAUACAUGAAUCUGUGGA
Molecule: long non-coding RNA, 176 nt
Organism: Mus musculus (house mouse)
Lineage: Eukaryota; Metazoa; Chordata; Mammalia; Rodentia; Muridae
Product: predicted gene, 40125
Exons: 3
Source: RefSeq, a predicted model, not a curated record